RNAcentral lists this ribosomal RNA (1057 nucleotides) under uncultured Bacteroidota bacterium. RNAcentral's name for it is "bacterial SSU rRNA". It matches the Rfam family "Bacterial small subunit ribosomal RNA", at positions 338 to 1398 of the family's 1533-position model. Lineage: Bacteria; Pseudomonadati; Bacteroidota. The record is from RNAcentral.
CCUACGGGGGGCAGCAGUGAGGAAUAUUGGACAAUGGCCGGAAGGUUGAUCCAGCCAUGCCGCGUGCAGGAUGACGGCCCUAUGGGUUGUAAACUGCUUUUGUACGGGAAGAAACCACCCCUCGUGAGGGGAACUGACGGUACCGUACGAAUAAGGACCGGCUAACUCCGUGCCAGCAGCCGCGGUAAUACGGAGGGUCCGAGCGUUAUCCGGAAUCAUUGGGUUUAAAGGGUCCGUAGGCGGGCCUAUAAGUCAGGGGUGAAAGGCCACGGCUCAACCGCGGGACUGCCCUUGAUACUGUGGGUCUUGAGUCGUUGUGGGGUUGCCGGAACAUGUGGUGUAGCGGUGAAAUGCAUAGAUAUCACAUAGAACACCGAUCGCGAAGGCAGGUGACCAACAACGUACUGACGCUGAUGGACGAAAGCGUGGGUAGCGAACGGGAUUAGAUACCCCGGUAGUCCACGCCGUAAACGAUGGAUACUAGCUGUCGGGACUUCGGUCUCGGCGGCCAAGCGAAAGUGAUAAGUAUCCCACCUGGGGAGUACGUUCGCAAGAAUGAAACUCAAAGGAAUUGACGGGGGCCCGCACAAGCGGUGGAGCAUGUGGUUUAAUUCGAUGAUACGCGAGGAACCUUACCAGGGCUUAAAUGCGGGCUGCAUGGGACAGAGACGUCCCUUUCUUCGGACCGCCCGCAAGGUGCUGCAUGGUUGUCGUCAGCUCGUGCCGUGAGGUGUCAGGUUAAGUCCUAUAACGAGCGCAACCCCUACCGUUAGUUGCCAGCGAGUAAUGUCGGGGACUCUAACGGGACUGCCGGUGCAAACCGAGAGGAAGGUGGGGACGACGUCAAAUCAUCACGGCCCUUACGUCCUGGGCUACACACGUGCUACAAUGGCCGGUACAGAGGGAAGCCACCCCGCAAGGGGGCGCGGAUCUACAAAGCCGGUCACAGUUCGGAUCGGGGUCUGCAACUCGACCCCGUGAAGCUGGAAUCGCUAGUAAUCGGAUAUCAGCCAUGAUCCGGUGAAUACGUUCCCGGGCCUUGUACACACCGCCCGUC